AGCGGCGGACGGGUGAGUAACGCGUGGGAACCUACCUUUUAGUACGGGACAACGUUUGGAAACGAACGCUAAUACCGUAUACGCCCUCCGGGGGAAAGGCUUGCCGCUAAAAGAGGGGCCCGCGUCUGAUUAGCUUGUUGGUAAGGUAAUGGCUUACCAAGGCUUCGAUCAGUAGCUGGUCUGAGAGGAUGAUCAGCCACACUGGGACUGAGACACGGCCCAGACUCCUACGGGAGGCAGCAGUGGGGAAUAUUGGACAAUGGAGGCAACUCUGAUCCAGCAAUGCCGCGUGUGUGAUGAAGGCCUUAGGGUUGUAAAGCACUUUCAACGGUGAAGAUGAUGACGGUAGCCGUAGAAGAAGCCCCGGCUAACUUCGUGCCAGCAGCCGCGGUAAUACGAAGGGGGCGAGCGUUAUUCGGAAUUAUUGGGCGUAAAGGGCUCGCAGGCUGCUUGAACAGUUAGACGUGAAAUCCCCGGGCUCAACCUGGGAACUGCGUUUAAUACUAGCAAGCUAGAGUAAUAGAGAGGAAAGUGGAACUCCCAGUGUAGAGGUGAAAUUCGUAGAUAUUGGGAAGAACACCAGUGGCGAAAGCGGCUUUCUGGCUAUUUACUGACGCUGAGGAGCGAAAGCGUGGGGAGCAACAGGAUUAGAUACCCUGGUAGUCCACGCGA
This 672-nucleotide ribosomal RNA is filed under the name uncultured bacterium. RNAcentral's name for it is "bacterial SSU rRNA". It matches the Rfam family "Bacterial small subunit ribosomal RNA", at positions 94 to 802 of the family's 1533-position model. The record is from RNAcentral.